Molecule: ribosomal RNA, 497 nt
Filed under: uncultured bacterium
Lineage: Bacteria
Description: partial 16S ribosomal RNA
Rfam family: Bacterial small subunit ribosomal RNA
Source: RNAcentral
GAUGAACGCUGGCGGCGUGCCUAAUACAUGCAAGUCGAGCGAACCGACGAGGAGGUUGCUCCUCUGACGUUAGCGCCGGACGGGUGAGUAACACGUUGAUAACCUCUCUAUAAGACUGGAGUAACUUCGGGAAACCGGCGCUCGUGCAGGGUAAUAUAUUGAAACGCACGGUUCACUAGUGAUAGACGAUUUUGCUGUCACAUAUAGCUGGAUGCGCGCCGCAUUAGCUAGUUGUUAAGGUAACGGCUUACCAAGGCGGCUAUGCUAAGCGCACAUGAAGGGGACAUCGACCACAUGGGAACUGAGGCACGGCCCAGACUCCGACAGGAGGCAGCGGUAGGGAAUCUUCCGGGAUGGGCGAAUGCCGGACGUUGCAACGCCGCGUGAAUGAUGAAGCUCUUAGGAUCGGAAAACGCUGUUAGUAGGGAAGAAGAAAAGUGUAAGUAACUAUGCACAUCUUGACGGUACCGAAACAGAAAGCCACGGCUAACUACGUG